UUUCCGUAGGUGAACCUGCGGAAGGAUCAUUAAAAAAUCUCCUCUGAGCCGCAAGGCUCUAUUAUUUUGUGCAACGUUACAUAUGGUGAGGCGGGUUUGGCUGGGCGUCGCUGAUGCCCUGCCAUAUCUCGGAUCGCCAUUGUUUUACGCUAAACGUACGGUUUUGAUGUCAGGAGUGUUAUCGGAUAUCGGUCACACGAUAUACGAGUCAUAAUACAAAAACAACUUUCAACAGUGGAUCUCUCGGCUCUUACAUCGAUGAAGAACGCAGC
RNAcentral lists this unclassified non-coding RNA (272 nucleotides) under plant metagenome. RNAcentral describes it as "partial contains small subunit ribosomal RNA, internal transcribed spacer 1, and 5.8S ribosomal RNA". The stretch from base 224 to 272 matches the Rfam family "5.8S ribosomal RNA", at positions 1 to 49 of the family's 154-position model. The record is from RNAcentral.